RNAcentral lists this long non-coding RNA (682 nucleotides) under Anser brachyrhynchus (Pink-footed goose). RNAcentral describes it as "lncRNA (ENSABRG00000021075.1)". The record is from RNAcentral. Lineage: Eukaryota; Metazoa; Chordata; Aves; Anseriformes; Anatidae.
CCUCCGCGCUCGGGGCGUGCCGGGGCGGGCGGGCGCCGGGUACCGGGCGGGCUCCUCGCACCGGCCGGGGCUCGACGCCGCUCCCCGGCAGCCCCGCGGCCGGCGCCGGGACGCGGCUUUUUUCUUUUCUUUUCUUUUCUUUUUUUUUUUUUUACAGGAAAAAACAGCGUUGCUCGCGCUGCGCCCGACGACUUCCUAUUCUGCCGCAUCCCUGCGGCCGUGCCCUCUUCAUCGCGGGGCGGCUCGGGCCGGGGCAGCCCCGGCACUGACUGCGGCCGCGGUGGAACCGCUCACGACGAGGGCUUCGACGCGAUCCUGGUUUCUUCGGAGCCCACGCGCCGGCAAGGAUUGAAAUUUCCCGGCUUGGCAGCUCGCGCUGGUGUCUUUUGGGAAGAGUUCGCGUGCUUGGCGGUGGUUUUGUUUCUGCGAGUUGUCAAAGGUAAAACAAAAACAAGGAAUGACUGUGCAGCUACCAGAUCUGCAGUUGUCUCUAGUAAUGGCCAACAUUCAGUACUGGUAGUAUUGAUGUCUCGGCCUUUCUUUUAAACAAGUUUUUGUGGUCAGAAGUUGGCGCUGAGCUUCAAGAGGCUCUUCUCCAUGUUGCUUCUUCAGAUGUCUCUGGAAACUUACUGGUUUCUAUUUUCUCAAUAAAUCUGUGUUGUUUGAAUAAUAAUCUGUGUUU